This 445-nucleotide ribosomal RNA is filed under the name uncultured bacterium. Its description in RNAcentral is "partial 16S ribosomal RNA". It matches the Rfam family "Bacterial small subunit ribosomal RNA", at positions 354 to 796 of the family's 1533-position model. The record is from RNAcentral.
GUGAGGAAUAUUGGUCAAUGGCCGAGAGGCUGAACCAGCCAAGUCGCGUGAAGGAAGAAGGAUCUAUGGUUUGUAAACUUCUUUUAUAGGGGAAUAAAGUGGAGGACGUGUCCUUUUUUGUAUGUACCCUAUGAAUAAGCAUCGGCUAACUCCGUGCCAGCAGCCGCGGUAAUACGGAGGAUGCGAGCGUUCUCCGGAUGUCUUGGGUUUAAAGGGUGCGUAGGUGGUGAUUUAAGUCAGCGGUGAAAGUUUGUGGCUCAACCAUAAAAUUGCCGUUGAAACUGGGUUACUUGAGUGUGUUUGAGGUAGGCGGAAUGCGUGGUGUAGCGGUGAAAUGCAUAGAUAUCACGCAGAACUCCGAUUGCGAAGGCAGCUUACUAAACCAUAACUGACACUGAAGCACGAAAGCGUGGGGAUCAAACAGGAUUAGAUACCCCUGUAGUCC